Molecule: ribosomal RNA, 662 nt
Filed under: Pseudomonas sp. MZ-15
Lineage: Bacteria; Pseudomonadati; Pseudomonadota; Gammaproteobacteria; Pseudomonadales; Pseudomonadaceae
Description: bacterial SSU rRNA
Rfam family: Bacterial small subunit ribosomal RNA
Source: RNAcentral
GGACAAUGGGCGAAAGCCUGAUCCAGCCAUGCCGCGUGUGUGAAGAAGGUCUUCGGAUUGUAAAGCACUUUAAGUUGGGAGGAAGGGUUGUAGAUUAAUACUCUGCAAUUUUGACGUUACCGACAGAAUAAGCACCGGCUAACUCUGUGCCAGCAGCCGCGGUAAUACAGGGUGCAAGCGUUAAUCGGAAUUACUGGGCGUAAAGCGCGCGUAGGUGGUUCGUUAAGUUGGAUGUGAAAUCCCCGGGCUCAACCUGGGAACUGCAUCCAAAACUGGCGAGCUAGAGUAUGGGAGGGUGGUGGAAUUUCCUGUGUAGCGGUGAAAUGCGUAGAUAUAGGAAGGAACACCAGUGGCGAAGGCGACCACCUGGACUGAUACUGACACUGAGGUGCGAAAGCGUGGGGAGCAAACAGGAUUAGACCGGUAGUCCACGCCGUAAACGAUGUCAACUAGCCGUUGGGAGCCUUGAGCUCUUAGUGGCGCAGCUAACGCAUUAAGUUGACCGCCUGGGGAGUACGGCCGCAAGGUUAAAACUCAAAUGAAUUGACGGGGGCCCGCACAAGCGGUGGAGCAUGUGGUUUAAUUCGAAGCAACGCGAAGAACCUUACCAGGCCUUGACAUCCAAUGAACUUUCCAGAGAUGGAUUGGUGCCUUCGGGAACA